GCGCAGCGUCAGCGACAUCGACUAAAAGGAUUUCCGUGCUUUCAGCUCAUUUCAGUUCGUAUCGGUAUUCCAUACAAGACGGAACGGAACGGAASGCGAGCCACCAAAAACAUUUCAUGCAUAUAAGCAAUAUUCGCAUUGCUGCUGCACUCAACGCAAGUCGUGCUAUUUAAGAACCGUAACAUUGCUGCUCUCUCUGUGUGUGCGUGAGUGUGUGCGCCGCAUCAGUUUGCUGUUUGGCUUCUUUUAAUCAUUUGCCGCCUUUAUACACAUGUAUGUGUGUGUGUGUUUCUCCUCUGUUAUGGCCGCUGUUAUACACAACAUAUCUGUCAUUUGAUGGUGCAACAAAGUUCGUGUUAACGUACGUCGACAGACACAUACAAACAAAACACACGUAUCAUGUAUGUGUGUGCCGUUAAUUCUACUGCCGAAGAUUAAGAUGAAUCUGUGCGGUUCAUUAAGCCGCGAACUCUUCCUCGAAGUUAACCGCAAGACUUAGAUAAAUAUAUAUUUAAGUAAUAUGAUAAGUAGACCGAAUUGCAGCGUAGGCAAUAGACAAAACGGAGGCAGCGAGAGCAGGAAAAAGUAAGUG
Molecule: long non-coding RNA, 592 nt
Organism: Drosophila arizonae
Lineage: Eukaryota; Metazoa; Arthropoda; Insecta; Diptera; Drosophilidae
Gene: rdgC
Source: RefSeq, a predicted model, not a curated record